This 82-nucleotide microRNA precursor is filed under the name Ovis aries (sheep). RNAcentral describes it as "miRNA (ENSOARG00000023329.1)". Lineage: Eukaryota; Metazoa; Chordata; Mammalia; Artiodactyla; Bovidae. The record is from RNAcentral.
AUUGGCUUGGUCAAUAAGUUCACUCAGAUUUUUCCAUAAGAUCUUAUAGAAAAAUCCAAAUGAACUUUUUGGCCAACCCAAU